GUCUCAGUUCGGAUUGGAGUCUGNAACCCGACUCCAUGAAGCUGGAUUCGCUAGUAAUCGCGCAUCAGCCACGGCGCGGUGAAUACGUUCCCGGGCCUUGUACACACCGCCCGUCAAGCCAUGGAAGCCGGGGGUGCCUGAAGUGCGCUGCCGCGAGGAGCGCCCUAGGGUAAAACCGGUGACUGGGGCUAAGUCGUAACAAGGUAAC
RNAcentral lists this ribosomal RNA (208 nucleotides) under uncultured bacterium. Its description in RNAcentral is "partial 16S ribosomal RNA". It matches the Rfam family "Bacterial small subunit ribosomal RNA", at positions 1285 to 1500 of the family's 1533-position model. The record is from RNAcentral.